RNAcentral lists this ribosomal RNA (274 nucleotides) under uncultured bacterium. RNAcentral's name for it is "partial 16S ribosomal RNA". It matches the Rfam family "Bacterial small subunit ribosomal RNA", at positions 523 to 796 of the family's 1533-position model. The record is from RNAcentral.
AUACGGAGGGGGCUAGCGUUGUUCGGAAUUACUGGGCGUAAAGCGCACGUAGGCGGAUUAAAAAGUUAGAGGUGAAAUCCCAGGGCUUAACACUGGAACUGCCUUUAAAACUAGUAGUCUAGAGUUCGAGAGAGGUGAGUGGAAUUCCAAGUGUAGAGGUGAAAUUCGUAGAUAUUUGGAGGAACACCAGUGGCGAAGGCGGCUCACUGGCUCGAUACUGACGCUGAGGUGCGAAAGCGUGGGGAGCAAACAGGAUUAGAAACCCCGGUAGUCC